This 497-nucleotide ribosomal RNA is filed under the name uncultured bacterium. RNAcentral describes it as "partial 16S ribosomal RNA". It matches the Rfam family "Bacterial small subunit ribosomal RNA", at positions 28 to 507 of the family's 1533-position model. The record is from RNAcentral.
GAUGAACGCUGGCGGCGUGCCUAAUACAUGCAAGUCGAGCGAACGGACGAGAAGCUUGCUUCUCUGAUGUUAGCGGCGGACGGGUGAGUAACACGUGGAUAACCUACCUAUAAGACUGGGAUAACUUCGGGAAACCGUAGCUAAUACCGGAUAAUAUUUUGAACCGCAUGGUUCAAAAGUGAAAGACGGUCUUGCUGUCACUUAUAGAUGGAUCCGCGUUGCAUUAGCUAGUUGGUAAGGUAACGGCUUACCAAGGCAACGAUGCAUAGCCGACCUGAGAGGGUGAUCGGCCAAACGGGAACUGAGAAACGGUCCAGACUCCUACGGGAGGAAGCAGUAGGGAAUCUUCCGAAAUGGGCGAAAGCCUGACGGAGAAAAGCCGCGUGAGUGAUGAAGGUCUUCGGAUCGUAAAACUCUGUUAUUAGGGAAGAACAUAUGUGUAAGUAACUGUGCACAUCUUGACGGUACCUAAUCAGAAAGCCACGGCUAACUACGUG